GAACUGUACUAAAACAGGAUGGUUGUGUGUGCAUGUUUUAAACUUUUUUCAAUUUUUUUUUUUUUUUGCUAGCUAUGGUGAACAAAGAUUUGCAUGUUUGUCCGAGUUCAGGAUGGAAGAAUGGUUGUGUGUUUAUUUGGAAUGGAAUAAGAUGGUUGUGUUUGAAUUUUACAUUAAAAAUGAAAUGCGAAACGAUGGGCUAUGAAUGGUGCUUUUGUAUUUAUUUAUUUUGUUUGCGAAACUGUUAUGUUAGAUUGGCAUGAUCUUUUGUGGUUGUGUUAGUAAUGCCAUUGCCGUGUUAAUGGUCCCCCUUUAAACAAUUACGACCAGGUUCACUAUUUGUUUAAUUCAUAUCAUUGUGCAUGCAAUUGUACGUGACUAUUAUGCGUUAGUAAUGCCAUUGGUAACGCAAAUUUUUUACAUUAAAAAAGAUGUCGGCAUUCUGUAAUUGCAAACUGUUAUUACAUUUGAGUCAAUGCAUCACAUGCAAACUGAUUGAAACUGUGCCACUGUUGUAGGUUUCGCAAGAACCAAGACGUGACGAAUCCUUGGGUUGAAGCAACAAUGAGGAUUUAAGGGAAAUUCUUAAUCAAAUGGCCGUACAGCUGCAACAACAAAACAACUGGACAUUUCUACAAGCAUGCCAGUAUGUCACAGAGUGGUACGAAAAACACAUGGCUAAAACGCCAUGUCGUACUUCUAUAUUGACCGGGCAUGCAUGGAUAUCCAAACUAUAUGCAGGCCAUAUGGGUCGAUUUGAGGAAAAUGUUUGCAUGUCGAAGCAAGUUUUUGUCGCUUUGUGGGAGACAUUAGUAAAUGAUUUUGGGUUACAAGUACCGCAACGUCCACAUAGCUUAACUAUUGAAGAAAGCAUUGUAAUGUUUAUCCACGUGUUGAAAGGGAUACAAAAUCGGGAAAUCCAAGAACGGUUCCAACAUUCGGGAGAGACUGUGUCUCGGCACGUGCAUAACGUAUUAACUUCCAUGAAAGAGUUCACUGUUGUUCAUUGCCGGCCCACAUAUAGUCAGCAUCGUAUACAUCCAUACGUGCGGUCUAAAUGGAAAUACCUACCGUUCAAGGACUGUAUUGGAGCCAUAGACGGAACACAUGUAAGUGCAUGGGUUACGGGGCCAGAUGCGUCAACAUAUUUCGGUAGGAAAUACUGUCACACGCAAAAUAUCAUGGCCGCGUGCGAUUUUGACAUGUGUUUCAUCUUCAUUUCGUACGGAUGGGAAGGAAGUAUGCACGAUAGUUGUAUCUUCAACGAGAUACUAACAAAUGACAAUGCCCCAUUUCCACAUCCUGAAGAAGAUAACACAUUGCAUUGAAAAAUCGAUGGGGGCAAAUAUUAUCUUGUCGAUGCUGGCUAUCCAAACCGGGUAGGUUACCUAGCACCUUUCAAAGGCAGCCGUUACCACCACCAACAAUUCCGAAGCAGUCAAUAGAACAAGACAACAAAAACCCCAAGGGAAUUAUUUAACAAAGUUCACUCAUCGUAAUGCAGUGUGGUGGAAUGCACUUUCGGUGCCUGGAAAAAUCGAUGGGGGUUUAUUAGAGACAUGCCUAGGUAUGACUUUGCAAAUGUGCAAGUUCAGUUAGUAGGUGCGU
Molecule: non-coding RNA, 1608 nt
Organism: Camellia sinensis
Lineage: Eukaryota; Viridiplantae; Streptophyta; Magnoliopsida; Ericales; Theaceae
Source: RefSeq, a predicted model, not a curated record